RNAcentral lists this unclassified non-coding RNA (324 nucleotides) under soil metagenome. Its description in RNAcentral is "partial contains 5.8S ribosomal RNA, internal transcribed spacer 2, and large subunit ribosomal RNA". The stretch from base 1 to 120 matches the Rfam family "5.8S ribosomal RNA", at positions 35 to 154 of the family's 154-position model. The record is from RNAcentral.
GAUGAAGAACGUAGUGAAAUGCGAUAAGUAGUGUGAAUUGCAGAAUUCAGUGAAUCAUCGAAUCUUUGAACGCACAUUGCGCCCCUUGGUAUUCCAUGGGGCAUGCCUGUUCGAGCGUCAUUUGUACCUUCAAGCUUUGCUUGGUGUUGGGUGUUUGUCCCUCGGGACUCGCCUUAAAGUCAUUGGCAGCCAGUGUUUUGGUUUUGAAGCGCAGCACAAGUCGCGAUUCAAGGCUAUCCGCCCGCUUCCACAAGCCUUUUUCACUUUUGACCUCGGAUCAGGUAGGGAUACCCGCUGAACUUAAGCAUAUCAAUAAGCGGAGGA